CCGCCGCGGUAGUUCAAAUAUUAAUAUAAUAAUAUAUGUAAAUCCACACACAAGCGUGCCCGCGUGCGCGCAAACGCACAUCACAGCAGCAGCGAACGAUUUAACGAUUUAUAAUCACAAUCGCAAUGAACGUUUAUGAUAUAAUACCUCCGUCACUGCUGCAUUGUCAUUGUCGUCAUCGUCGUCAGUGGCAAUUAAAAUUGUUUCCCUCGACCUGCUCUGAUACGAUCGAAUUUUUUCGAGAAAUCGUUCGAGAUGUACAUCAAUAGAACUCGUCGUCAAACCGAUGUGCAAUAACAGCGAUGUAUAUUAUGUAAUAUAGACUUCCAAAAAAUGUCACACAGCUCAGUGUGACGAUUAUAAUUAAUAUCACCACAACAAUGAACGGAAAUUGAAGUCGAAGAAAGACACACGGGUCAAUUUAUACUGAAGGAGUUGUCGAUCAUAUUAUUGUUAUGCAACAAUAAUCAUUAUUAUCUUAGCUCCUGCUCCUGCAGCACAUCAACAGAAGUCGUGUUUACAUUAUACUGGCUGUAAAUGUAUACGCAAUAAUACGAGACUCGGCCCCACAGCUUCCGACCUUAAACCUCAAACUGCAGUUGUAGGCAUAUUAUACGUACAAAUCGACAGCCUUGUUAAGAAUACCUACGUCUUUUAAAAUGUAUUCAGAAUACGUUCUUCAAUAUACUCGGUGUCAUUUGUACAUUUGAAGUAGGUAUUCCUGUACUGUCUUUCUCAAAAGUAUUUCAAUACAAAUAAAAAUACAUUUUAUUAAAAGUA
Myzus persicae (green peach aphid) is the source of this 780-nucleotide long non-coding RNA. RefSeq lists it as uncharacterized. The record is from RefSeq and is a predicted model, not a curated record. Lineage: Eukaryota; Metazoa; Arthropoda; Insecta; Hemiptera; Aphididae. The transcript has 3 exons.